ACGCUGGCGGCAGGCCUAACACAUGCAAGUCGAGCGGCAGCACGGGUACUUGUACCUGGUGGCGAGCGGCGGACGGGUGAGUAAUGCCUAGGAAUCUGCCUGGUAGUGGGGGAUAACGCUCGGAAACGGACGCUAAUACCGCAUACGUCCUACGGGAGAAAGCAGGGGACCUUCGGGCCUUGCGCUAUCAGAUGAGCCUAGGUCGGAUUAGCUAGUUGGUGAGGUAAUGGCUCACCAAGGCGACGAUCCGUAACUGGUCUGAGAGGAUGAUCAGUCACACUGGAACUGAGACACGGUCCAGACUCCUACGGGAGGCAGCAGUGGGGAAUAUUGGACAAUGGGCGAAAGCCUGAUCCAGCCAUGCCGCGUGUGUGAAGAAGGUCUUCGGAUUGUAAAGCACUUUAAGUUGGGAGGAAGGGCAGUUACCUAAUACGUAUCUGUUUUGACGUUACCGACAGAAUAAGCACCGGCUAACUCUGUGCCAGCAGCCGCGGUAAUACAGAGGGUGCAAGCGUUAAUCGGAAUUACUGGGCGUAAAGCGCGCGUAGGUGGUUUGUUAAGUUGGAUGUGAAAUCCCCGGGCUCAACCUGGGAACUGCAUUCAAAACUGACAAGCUAGAGUAUGGUAGAGGGUGGUGGAAUUUCCUGUGUAGCGGUGAAAUGCGUAGAUAUAGGAAGAACACCAGUGGCGAAGGCGACCACCUGGACUGAUACUGACACUGAGGUGCGAAAGCGUGGGGAGCAAAC
RNAcentral lists this ribosomal RNA (746 nucleotides) under uncultured bacterium. RNAcentral describes it as "bacterial SSU rRNA". It matches the Rfam family "Bacterial small subunit ribosomal RNA", at positions 33 to 773 of the family's 1533-position model. The record is from RNAcentral.